AAGAGCCGUAUAAAUCGAGAGGUUUACCUACGGAUCUGUGGGAGCCGGGAGGUGAGAUCCCUCCCGGCUACCCGAC
This 76-nucleotide non-coding RNA is filed under the name Nonomuraea jiangxiensis. Lineage: Bacteria; Bacillati; Actinomycetota; Actinomycetes; Streptosporangiales; Streptosporangiaceae. The record is from RNAcentral.